CCAUGCCGCGUGCAGGAAGACUGCCCUAUGGGUUGUAAACUGCUUUUAUACAGGAAGAAACCUUUUCACGUGUGAAAAGCUGACGGUACUGUAAGAAUAAGGAUCGGCUAACUCCGUGCCAGCAGCCGCGGUAAUACGGAGGAUCCAAGCGUUAUCCGGAAUCAUUGGGUUUAAAGGGUCCGUAGGUGGAUAAUUAAGUCAGGGGUGAAAGUUUGCGGCUCAACCGUAAAAUUGCCUUUGAUACUGGUUAUCUUGAAUUAUUGUGAAGUAGUUAGAAUAUGUAGUGUAGCGGUGAAAUGCAUAGAUAUUACAUAGAAUACCAAUUGCGAAGGCAGAUUACUAACAAUAUAUUGACACUGAUGGACGAAAGCGUGGGGAGCGAACAGGAUUAGAUACCCNNNNUAGUCCAUCAGUGUCAAUAUAUUGUUAGUAAUCUGCCUUCGCAAUUGGUAUUCUAUGUAAUAUCUAUGCAUUUCACCGCUACACUACAUAUUCUAACUACUUCACAAUAAUUCAAGAUAACCAGUAUCAAAGGCAAUUUUACGGUUGAGCC
This 553-nucleotide ribosomal RNA is filed under the name Winogradskyella sp. Asnod2C01. RNAcentral describes it as "bacterial SSU rRNA". The stretch from base 1 to 479 matches the Rfam family "Bacterial small subunit ribosomal RNA", at positions 392 to 873 of the family's 1533-position model. The record is from RNAcentral. Lineage: Bacteria; Pseudomonadati; Bacteroidota; Flavobacteriia; Flavobacteriales; Flavobacteriaceae.